This 55-nucleotide small nuclear RNA is filed under the name Microcebus murinus (gray mouse lemur). The record is from RNAcentral. Lineage: Eukaryota; Metazoa; Chordata; Mammalia; Primates; Cheirogaleidae.
GUGCUUGCUUCAGCAGCACAAAUACUAAAAUUUGAAUGAUACAGAGAAGAUUAGC